RNAcentral lists this ribozyme (75 nucleotides) under Crocodylus porosus (Australian saltwater crocodile). RNAcentral's name for it is "Mammalian CPEB3 ribozyme (ENSCPRG00005003061.1)". It matches the Rfam family "Mammalian CPEB3 ribozyme". Rfam says of the family: The mammalian CPEB3 ribozyme is a self cleaving RNA located in the second intron of the CPEB3 gene which belongs to a family of genes regulating messenger RNA polyadenylation. This ribozyme is highly conserved and found only in mammals. Lineage: Eukaryota; Metazoa; Chordata; Crocodylia; Crocodylidae. The record is from Rfam by way of RNAcentral.
GUUGCAUGUUCAAGCCCAUAGCAGAAGUGCUCAUGGUGUGGCCUGUCAGAUUCCAGUGAAUCUGCAAGUUUUGCU